Ochotona princeps (American pika) is the source of this 107-nucleotide small nuclear RNA. The record is from Ensembl. NCBI's taxonomy places the organism in Eukaryota, Metazoa, Chordata, Mammalia, Lagomorpha, Ochotonidae.
GUGCUCGCUUUAGCAGCACAUAUACUAAAAUUGGAACGAUACAGAGAAGAUUAGCAUGGCCCCUGCGCAAGGACUAAAAUAUAGACAUGCAUUAUCCACAAGGGUGU